CGCCUACGGGAGGCAGCAGUGGGGAAUAUUGCACAAUGGGGGAAACCCUGAUGCAGCGACGCCGCGUGAGUGAAGAAGUAUUUCGGUAUGUAAAGCUCUAUCAGCAGGAACGAGACAAGACGGUACCUGACUAAGAAGCCCCGGCUAACUACGUGCCAGCAGCCGCGGGAAUACGUAGGGGGCAAGCGUUAUCCGGAAUCACUGGGUGUAAAGGGAGCGUAGACGGCUGUGCAAGCAUGAAGGGAAAGGCGGGGGCCCAACCCCUGGACUGCUUUGGGGACUGUAAGGCUGGAGUGCAGGGGAGG
RNAcentral lists this ribosomal RNA (305 nucleotides) under uncultured bacterium. Its description in RNAcentral is "bacterial SSU rRNA". It matches the Rfam family "Bacterial small subunit ribosomal RNA", at positions 336 to 657 of the family's 1533-position model. The record is from RNAcentral.